GUACAUCUGGGAUGGCCUGUGAGAAACAUCAGCUGUAUAAACUGGCGUGCUACUGCGAGGACAUUUUUGGAGAUUUGCUCCUGAAACAGCCGUUAGAGGAUUUCCCGAUGGAGGCCGGAUGCCCGCUGCCGUCUCCAAAGGGCCUCAAAGGAAAAAUCCUCAUCAAGAACAGAAGAUUAAAACCUGAAGUUGAAAUAAGUAGUGAUAUAAACCCCAUUCAAAAGUUCUACCAGU
Sinocyclocheilus grahami is the source of this 234-nucleotide long non-coding RNA. RefSeq lists it as uncharacterized. NCBI's taxonomy places the organism in Eukaryota, Metazoa, Chordata, Actinopteri, Cypriniformes, Cyprinidae. The transcript is spliced from 3 exons. The record is from RefSeq and is a predicted model, not a curated record.